UACGUAGGGCGCAAGCGUUGUCCGGAAUUAUUGGGCGUAAAGAGCUCGUAGGCGGCUUGUCACGUCGGGUGUGAAAGCCCGGGGCUUAACCCCGGGUCUGCAUUCGAUACGGUCUAGCUAGAGUGUGGUAGGGGAGAUCGGAAUUCCUGGUGUAGCGGUGAAAUGCGCAGAUAUCAGGAGGAACACCGGUGGCGAAGGCGGAUCUCUGGGCCAUUACUGACGCUGAGGAGCGAAAGCGUGGGGAGCGAACAGG
Molecule: ribosomal RNA, 253 nt
Filed under: uncultured bacterium
Lineage: Bacteria
Description: partial 16S ribosomal RNA
Rfam family: Bacterial small subunit ribosomal RNA
Source: RNAcentral